Molecule: unclassified non-coding RNA, 329 nt
Filed under: soil metagenome
Description: partial contains 5.8S ribosomal RNA, internal transcribed spacer 2, and large subunit ribosomal RNA
Rfam family: 5.8S ribosomal RNA (bases 1-120)
Source: RNAcentral
GAUGAAGAACGCAGCGAAAUGCGAUAAGUAGUGUGAAUUGCAGAAUUCAGUGAAUCAUCGAAUCUUUGAACGCACAUUGCGCCCUCUGGUAUUCCGGGGGGCAUGCCUGUUCGAGCGUCAUUAUAACCACUCAAGCUCUCGCUUGGUAUUGGGGUUCGCGGUUCCGCGGCCCCUAAAAUCAGUGGCGGUGCCUGUCGGCUCUACGCGUAGUAAUACUCCUCGCGAUUGAGUCCGGUAGGUCUACUUGCCAGCAACCCCCAAUUUUUACAGGUUGACCUCGGAUCAGGUAGGGAUACCCGCUGAACUUAAGCAUAUCAAUAAGCGGAGGA